GUGAUCCACCUGGCCUUGCCCUCAGCCCAGUGACAGCUGUUCAGACUGCCAGACCUCUUGCUACCUCAGAGCUUUUCCUUGUGCUGUUCCCCUGCCUGGAUUGACUUCUCUCUCCCUGCUCUGUCUGCUUAAGAACUCAGUCUGUGGGUCCGCUUGACAAGGCAUAUUCUUGAGGAAGCUUGAAUGAAGCUCAAAGUAGACCAGGCAUCCUGGAGCCCGUGCACCUUAAACUUGCCCAGCCUCUGCUGGCCCUGAUCCCUUGUCUCUCAGGACACAGCUCAAAUACCAUCUCCUCCAGCUCACCUCACGGCUCCCGGAUUCAAGUGAUUCUCCUGCCUCAGCCUCUCGAGUAGCUGGGAUUACAGGCGCCCACCAC
Symphalangus syndactylus (siamang) is the source of this 376-nucleotide long non-coding RNA. RefSeq lists it as uncharacterized. The record is from RefSeq and is a predicted model, not a curated record. NCBI's taxonomy places the organism in Eukaryota, Metazoa, Chordata, Mammalia, Primates, Hylobatidae.